Long non-coding RNA from Centruroides sculpturatus (bark scorpion), 811 nucleotides. RefSeq lists it as uncharacterized. The transcript has 2 exons. Lineage: Eukaryota; Metazoa; Arthropoda; Arachnida; Scorpiones; Buthidae. The record is from RefSeq and is a predicted model, not a curated record.
ACGAAGAGAAGAAACGAAGUUUUAAAUCCGUCUCCAUUAAAGGGUUGUUCACAAGAGUUUUUUGGAUAGACAGACUUUUAACUUUAACUAAAUCACUAUAGUUUCAAAUUUGGUGUGCAUCAACGAGAUCGUUUGCAACAUGGAAAAAAGAAAGGAAAGAUGGUGAAGUGUAUGGGUUUACGGAAUAUUAUACCGUUUACCACAGAGUAUUUUGUCCACCCUAAAAACAGACUGUUCGUAACAACACCAAUGUCCAGAAGUCAAGAUUCCGAAAUAAUGAUCCAUUAUUUCGGCACAUUUUUAGUGUUUUAGAGGUAUUUUAAAGACGAAGAAGGGAAAUUUAUCAAUGAUUUUGGAUUAGAUUUAAAACAUUCUUAGAUGAUAUAUAAGUAAUGCAGUUGCUAAUAAAAAAAAAUUGAGUUGUAUCUUAAUAACAAUGUAGAAAGUAAUAGAAGCAAUAAAAGAAAAGGUAAAACAAAUUACAAGCUAAUGCAAAAAGUAUUUUAGAAUUGCUAUGUAAUUUAGCAACUAUAUCAGUAAUUCUCCAAAAAUAUAAUGAAAUUAGCUCUAUGAUAAAAUUACUACAAAAUGCUAGGAUUAGUGCUUUUGAUAAGCUGAAUAGAAAUAUGAAAUAGAUUAUCCCAGUUAUAAGAUACUACAGCCUUUAUUUUUAAGUGAAUUUCUCCUGUUUGCGUUUUAGGUGACGAUGAUUGUUUUUGUUCAUCCUUGCCAGUUCUGUUCGGAGAUAGUAUUUUUGUAGAAUUAAUCUGAGACUGAAAGCGUUUAUGGCAAAUAAAAGUGUUCAUUGAAA